Diorhabda carinulata is the source of this 288-nucleotide long non-coding RNA. RefSeq lists it as uncharacterized. NCBI's taxonomy places the organism in Eukaryota, Metazoa, Arthropoda, Insecta, Coleoptera, Chrysomelidae. The transcript has 3 exons. The record is from RefSeq and is a predicted model, not a curated record.
AAUCACUAUUUAAUAAUAGGGACGACUCAAUAAAAGAUCCUGACUACAACCCUCAUAAAAUGCAUAGUGGAAUUUGUGAUAUCAAGAAAGUGAAUAAUUUUCUAGGUAAAACGGAUUCGACUAGAUUGAAUAAUGGUGAUUACUCAACAAGAGAUUCCUACUAUGAUACACAUAAAGAUAUGGAAUAUCAAGUAAAUGAGAAUCAACCUACAGUGGAUAUCUUUCAAUUAGCAAAUAUGUCACAGCCAGUAGAUAUUGACUACAAAGAACUGAAUGUUUCCUAUGCGC